Eupeodes corollae is the source of this 5737-nucleotide long non-coding RNA. RefSeq lists it as uncharacterized. The transcript has 3 exons. The record is from RefSeq and is a predicted model, not a curated record. Lineage: Eukaryota; Metazoa; Arthropoda; Insecta; Diptera; Syrphidae.
UUGAAACGGAACUUUCGCACAGAACGGUCAUGGUCUUGAAAUAUUAUUCUCAAAACUGGAAAUUCAAGUAACCAAACUCACACACAAAAAAAAACAACUACCUACCAGAGUUAUAAACGGUUCCCACAGUCUGCUGGCCAUAAUGAUGAUGAUGGUGAUGGGGCAUUGGCAAGGCGUUAAGCAUAGAGGCAUGCACAAGAUACAAAGCUUCGUGCUCUCUCUCUCGCAGUCUCUCUCUCACUCUCUUUCGCUCUCGCUCUCUCAUUAUCAUCAUCGUUCGUGAAUAUGGCAGAAGCCUACUUGGACUUCGUGCUGCAAAGUGAAGCUCAUUCUCCAACCGACAACGACCACGGGAGGAUAGUUCCGACUUCGCGCUUUAAAGUAUCUAUAAAACCAACAAAAUUAAAAAAGUAUCUUUUACAUGAAAUCUCUAAUCAGUGUUGUCGGUCUCGGUGUCAUUCGGUUGCUUAGUUGCGUACAUCGUAUACAGCGUACACCGACCUUCGUUCAAUAGCCGGAAAGCGGAGCGGAGUGGAACGGCGGACGAACUGUGUCGUCGUUCUCGCCAUCAUCAACUAUAGAGCUUUAAUUCUCCAUCGAACAACAACAACAGCAAAACGAAUUUUAAAAAAAUGUCAAAUGGAGAAAGCUUUUCAGAUAUUAUUCAUGUCUGUGUAGCCCUGCUCUGCUUCUGCUUCAGCUUCGAUUCGACUGGCAGUGGCAGCGGUAAAAGGUAGCAUUGCCAACUAACAUUUUAGUCGUCUGGAAUGUAUCUGGAGCCAAAGACUUUAUUCCUACUCCAUCCGGUGUGGCAGAGUCAAUAUAAAGUGUGUGUGGUUUAUUUUUUAAAUAUUUUGUCUUCUGUGUUUUUUGGUCAUUUUUAUUAAUUGCUGGCGCUUCCCUGCGUGGAGUCGUCGAAGAGUCGUAUAUAUUUUAUACCUACGAUUUGGCUGAGGAUAGAAUUAGAGGCUCAGUCGCUAACUGUCACAAAUUGUGUUAACAACAACCUUCUCAUAUUUCUCACCUUCAAAUAUCAAUUGCAAUAAAUACAAAAUAUAUAAGUGUGAAUACGUAUCUAUGACACUUUAUCGGGAAUGAGAUACGAAUUCAGUCUCGUCGCGAACUUUGCACCAUGACUUUCAGCAGCUUCGCGAAGUCAAACAAGUCUUAGAAAAAAACAGCCUUUUAAAAAAGUGUGAAAGAUAAUGGCUAGUUUUGUGUUAUAUUCUAUUUCAAAUUUUAACAUUAAGGUGUGAACAAGCUUUAAAAAAAAUGACGUAGUGCAUAAAUUUAAAUCUUUGCCAUUCGUCUCUUUUAAUUGCGCAGUUUAAAAAAGAAAAAUAAACUCAAAACAAUUAAUUAACUGAGCUCCAAAGGUGAGAAAAAAAACAAACUCAGUGUACAAAGUGCAAAAUGCAAAAAUAAAAAGUUUAAUCUAUCUAUCUUAAAAAAAGGACACCCAGCAACAAUCUGAAACAAACAAAAUACCAAAAAAAAACAUAAGAUAACAUUUUAAAAUUCACGAGAACAAUUUUGAAAAUAAACAAACGCAACCAAAAAAAAAAUCACCAAAAAGAUAAGAUCCACCAAACAACCCCGAUUUUUAGAUAUUAUACAUCUGCUUGUAUCUAUGAGAUACAACACAAAACACAUCAUCACACAUCUCAACACACAGUCAAGUCAGUGUAUUCGAGUCUAGCCAUCAAAGGUUGUCUUGUCUUCGUCUUCGUUGUCGUAUCUAUCUUAUUGAGAUACAUCCGUCUUCAUACAAGUUCACAUAUAGUCAAAAAUCAAGUGCCAAACAUAAAGAGGGAAACUCCCUAACUUUAUCCGCCGCCGACAGAUAAAAGAUACACUAACAACAAACAAAAAAAAAACUAACUGAAGUUGGAAUUUCAAAAAAAUUAUCUAAAUAAAAUAAACUUUCAAAUAAGAUAGUCUCGAAAAUCCGUAUGUGUCUACAGCAGAACUGUGGCCUUCUUAUCUGCUGGUCUUAAAUUUAAAAAAAAACCAACGCUCUCUCUCGAUGUUCUCAAAAACAUAUCACAAAAGCCUCAAGGGACGGAAGGAAGUGAAAUAAUACAAAAAAUCCAACACAAAAAAAAAAACAAAAAUGGUGGAAUUCGAAUUAAUUUAUAUGAUGCAUAUAUAAGUACAAAACAUAUAAAGCUACACUUAACAAAGUUAACAAGUUACACUCAAACAAAAGAGCCAGAAAAAAAUGAAGAGAAAACACAACUUCCUUAUUGGGAUCCUUUUUGAUUCUCAGAACUUUACAAAAGACGACCAACAACAUCAAAACGAACGAAAGAAAAAAACACAAAAAUGAUGUCUUAGACUAAAAAGGUAAGUACUUACUUUGUAUAUAUGAAGGUACUCCUCGUUCCGGCUCAAGGCUAUAACCAAUAUCCUUGAACAUCAAGAAUUGCAAUCCCAUCAUUAUUCAAUUAAUUUCCUUACAAAACAUUAGCUCACAUAAUUGAAUAAUUGAGAGGAUACAAAUUACUCAGUGGCCUAAUGCUAGUCAGUUGUGUAUGGCAUAUCCUUCCGGGAUCCUAUAUAGAUCCUAGAUCCUAGGAUCCUAUACACUCCUCCUCUGGUAUCUGCUAUCUGGUUUCAUGGUACAUAUUUAUCACCAUUUGUGCAAUUAAAUGCUACUUCUACAAUUCGAAUUCGGUUGGAAGCGUGAUGAGGUUCGGGGUGGUAGCCAGAGGCGUGAGGCGAUAUAUAGUCAAGCAAUGUCUCUCAUUGGGUUCUGCUGAGUUUCUAUACUUAUAUAAAUGAAUAAGCUUGUGACGCGUGAUGCGGGGAAUGUCUGGCUACACACAUUGCCAGAAUAAGCAAGGACCUCAUUCCCCCAAUCCCCUCAUAUGUAUGCAUGUCGACAUCAUAUCUCGGUAGGUAUGUAUAGUUAUAUAGCUUUUCUAGGAUCGUUCCCUGAAUUAUGCAUUUGUAAGUUUAUUAUAGGCCAACUGUUUCGACACAGCUUUAUCGUUCCAGGUUAAAAUUUAUAUAAAUAGGCAAACAUAUGUACAUACUUAUAUAUGGUAGAGAUUGCCUAGGUGUUCAAUUAAAUUAUCGCCCGGACAUGCUCUUCGAGAAUUCCCAAUAAAUUUAUGCGGUCAACCGAUGUUCUGAUAUGGGAGUGAAAUGUACAACCUCCAUAGUUGGUUCGCUUGGCCAGUUUUAUGCUUUCAUGCAAUUGCCACCGCAAUAUAAAGCUAUUUAUGUGUAUAGAACAUACAACACAUGCUCUGCUCAUUCAUUACCGCAUCUAGAUAUGUGUAUGAGUAUCUAGCGAUGAAGCGCAGUCCAUUGGAAAACUCAAUUUUCUCUGCAGCUUCCUCUUUUUCAUCGACUUCAAUAUGGACUCCUCCUUUAUCGCAGUCCUCACAUCAUAGAUCUUUUUUUUUUUUGAAAACCAUCAUUCCCUAUAUACCUACAAGCUACAAAUACAAGCUCGAGCUAGCUAGUGGUACAAAAUAUAUUUAAUUGAAAAUAAUUUCAACUUUGUUCAAACAGCAAACGAUGGAAAGUUUUUUAUCGUUUUUGACGAGUUGCUGUAGGUUUGUAUCGGGAAAUAGGAUGUGUGUUGGUUUUCCCAUCUCUCAUCAUAGAAACACCAGAGAAGCAGGCAAGGAUUUGAGCCUGCAACAAAAACAAAAAGGAUCAAAAAUAAAAAUAAAAUAAAACUUUUUAAGUGCUGUGAGGAGAGACAAAGUAUAGUAGAAAAAAAGAAAAUACAAAACCAAAAAGGAAGUAAAAUAAAACAAACAAAGUCUCCUAAUAGGAUAAUCGAUACAAAAGUUAGAGUCCAAUUAAAUUGGAAUCGUUCUUAUAGUUAGGUCUAUCUGUACAUACUACGUCCCAUCCCAUCCUCCCAUCCUUUCUCACAUCGCGUCGCUCGUCCUUUUUCAUUCUCGUUCAAGUCUAUACUGCGAUGCCUACACGAUGAGACUACGAUGUUGAAGGCAAAAAAGGACUUUUCGAAAAAUAAAGUUUUUGUAUCUUUUAUCAUCAAAUAUUGAAAUAAAACUAACGCCAAAGUUGCUCUUUAUUUGUUUGUUACAAAAUAUUAAGAGAUAGAAAAAGUCCUUCGACGAGCUUCGAUGAUUAUGAUGAUGACUUAAGUCAAUAUUAAAUGUUUCCUGUAUUUUAUAUAACAUCAAAGGGCAUUCCGGAAUGAGUUGUGAAUAUGAAUAUUUGAUGGAAGUUCUUCGCUUUUUGUUUGUUGUUGUUUUCACUUCCGAUUUAAAAUAAGUCUUGAAAUGGGCCCUUGAUUGUUGGUAUGAUAAAUAAGGCAACCUUAAAAGCCUGUAAUAGAUCAAGAUGUAGGGAUGUUGAAAAGGUCUGGUUCUGUUGUGUGUAUAUAUAUUUUUUGAUAUUUGAGUUGAUAGAAAAAGUCAAUUUAGAAAAUAAACUGAUAAUUACCAAUUGAUUUGUUUUGCCUUUGAAGUUUGUCGGAAACAGUAGGGUUUUCAUCUUCUUUUUUUAAGGAGUGAAUUUUUUCAACCCCUGGAGAAAAAGGCAGCCUAUUUUGGUUCUGUUAAUAUCCAAUUUUUAUACGAAACAAGAAAUUUAAGUUUGUAAAUUCAUAAAAGUUAAUGAAAUGAUAGCUUCGGGUUAGGUUUGGAAAGACCAGUGCUUGAUUAAGUGUAAUCAAGCAAAAAAGGAUAAUAGGUUUUUUGGCAGUUACUUAUAUUAUAAAAAUAUAUCCUAUUUUCUUAUAUUUUCGAAAGAGAUAUAGAUCAAAAAAAGAGUAUUUGUUAUUUUUAUAAUUUUCAUUAUAUUUCUUGGCACGUUUUACAUUAAAAAAACAACAAAGAAAACAUGAAAUAAAAAACAUAAGUCGUCUAAUGUAAAUUUGAUUUUAUGUAUGUUUUUAUUUGUGAAUAGGGAUAUGCAUAUUUUUGUGUCUAAAAUUGUGCUUAUCUUUUAAGAAAAAACAAAAAAUCUGUUGUUACUUUUGUGACUCAUGUAACGCUCGCUUAUUAUUAUGAGAUUUCUUGAUAUUUAUUAAGAAUUGUAUUAUGAUUGUGUAAAGUUAACCGAUUAUACGCGUAGAUUUGUUAGUUUAUUUGCAAACAAACAUAAGCAUCAGGAUACGUGACUAAGAAGUAAAUUAUACACAAUCACGUCCUUGUAGGAUAAUAAUUUGGAAGAGAGAGAGGAAAAAUAGAACAGAAUCUUCAAUAAUAGAUAAUAAUAUUAUUAUUCGUAUUUUUGUACGUGAUGAUUUUCUGUCCAAAAAAAUUAUCGAAUUAUUAUAAGAAAUUCAUUAGGGGAAAAAUGAGAGAAAUUUCAUCCAAGAAUUUGAUAUUCCAAGGUCGAAGGCCUUAGGAAAGUGUUACUACUUAGACCAUCAAAUUAGUAACGUUAAGAGCACAGGAUUGUUUUAGUGAAUUUAUACAUAGGGUUCUCCAAAAACAGGUCUAAUUUUUAUAUAUGAAAGGGUGCAAAACGUCACCAUCGACAGACGUAACUUGGAGGUAGUCAAGGACUUCGUCUACCUAGGCUCCACUGUAAACGCAGAAAACAACACCAGCAGUGAAAUCAAACGAAGAAUAACUCUUGCUAACCGCUGUAAACUAAAGGGUUUAUUUCUUAAGAGUAACAUUCUAUGAAUGAUUAUUUCUUUGUUAAGAGAGAGGUAUGCCAUUAACGACGGAAAAAGAUAUCAGCCAAUUACCACCACGAUUACAGUAGGAGCAACAUAGCUUUAACAUACAAUUUUUCA